This is a non-coding RNA of Pteropus alecto (black flying fox), 144 nucleotides long. The record is from Rfam. NCBI's taxonomy places the organism in Eukaryota, Metazoa, Chordata, Mammalia, Chiroptera, Pteropodidae.
AGCUUUGAGUGGUGGUAGCACCGUCGCCUCUGAGGCUUAACCGAGGCACGAUCAUUGCUGAUUGAAAACAUGAGAACGAAUUCCAGCCCCUCCUCCCUCCAGUGAGGCUGAGGCUCCACAUUCAUUUCCUGCCUUGAUCAGAAU